UCCUACGGGAGGCAGCAGUGAGGAAUAUUGGUCAAUGGACGCAAGUCUGAACCAGCCAUGUCGCGUGUAGGAUGACUGCCCUAUGGGUUGUAAACUACUUUUUUACAGGAAUAAACUUUUCCACGUGUGGAGAACUGAAGGUACUGUAGGAAUAAGGAUCGGCUAACUCCGUGCCAGCAGCCGCGGUAAUACGGAGGAUUCGAGCGUUAUCCGGAUUUAUUGGGUUUAAAGGGUCCGUAGGCGGGCUUGUAAGUCAGUGGUGAAAUCUCACAGCUCAACUGUGAAACUGCCAUUGAUACUGCAGGUCUUGAAUUUAGUUGAGGUGGGCGGAAUACGAUAUGUAGCGGUGAAAUGCAUAGAUAUAUCGUAGAACACCGAUUGCGAAGGCAGCUCACUAAGCUAAUAUUGACGCUGAUGGACGAAAGCGUGGGGAGCGAACAGGAUUAGAUACCCUGGUAGUCCACGCCGUAAACGAUGAUCACUCGUUGUGCGCGAUACAUUGUGCGCGACUGAGCGAAAGCAUUAAGUGAUCCACCUGGGGAGUACGUUGGCAACAAUGAAACUCAAAUGAAUUGACGG
This 579-nucleotide ribosomal RNA is filed under the name uncultured bacterium. RNAcentral describes it as "bacterial SSU rRNA". It matches the Rfam family "Bacterial small subunit ribosomal RNA", at positions 337 to 916 of the family's 1533-position model. The record is from RNAcentral.